GACGAACGCUGGCGGCGUGCUUAACACAUGCAAGUCGAACGGAAAGGCCCUGCUUGCAGGGUGCUCGAGUGGCGAACGGGUGAGUAACACGUGGGUGAUCUGCCCCUUACUUUGGGAUAAGCCUGGGAAACUGGGUCUAAUACUGGAUAGGACCAUGCUGUAGGUGGUGUGGUGGAAAGAUUAGUUUCGGUAAGGGAUGAGCUCGCGGCCCAUCAGCUUGUUGGUGGGGUAAUGGCCUACCAAGGCGUCGACGGGUAGCCGGCCUGAGAGGGUGGACGGCCACAUUGGGACUGAGAUACGGCACAGACUCCUACGGGAGGCAGCAGUGGGGAAUAUUGCACAAUGGGCGCAAGCCUGAUGCAGCGACGCCGCGUGGGGGAUGACGGCCUUCGGGUUGUAAACUCCUUUCAGCCAUGACGAAGCCCUUGUGGUGACGGUAGUGGUAGAAGAAGCACCGGCUAACUACGUG
RNAcentral lists this ribosomal RNA (469 nucleotides) under uncultured bacterium. RNAcentral describes it as "partial 16S ribosomal RNA". It matches the Rfam family "Bacterial small subunit ribosomal RNA", at positions 28 to 507 of the family's 1533-position model. The record is from RNAcentral.